GCUCGAGUGGCGAACGGGUGAGUGACACGUGAGUAACCUGCCCUUGACUUUGGGAUAACUUCAGGAAACUGGGGCUAAUACCGGAUAGGAGCUCCUGCUGCAUGGUGGGGGUUGGAAAGUUUCGGCGGUUGGGGAUGGACUCGCGGCUUAUCAGCUUGUUGGUGGGGUAGUGGCUUACCAAGGCUUUGACGGGUAGCCGGCCUGAGAGGGUGACCGGCCACAUUGGGACUGAAAUACGGCCCAG
RNAcentral lists this ribosomal RNA (244 nucleotides) under uncultured Actinomycetales bacterium. RNAcentral describes it as "partial 16S ribosomal RNA". It matches the Rfam family "Bacterial small subunit ribosomal RNA", at positions 89 to 334 of the family's 1533-position model. The record is from RNAcentral. Lineage: Bacteria; Bacillati; Actinomycetota; Actinomycetes; Actinomycetales.